AUCCAAUUGACAAGUACCAAACAGGACGAAACGCGUGUCCUGGAU
Schistosoma curassoni is the source of this 45-nucleotide non-coding RNA. NCBI's taxonomy places the organism in Eukaryota, Metazoa, Platyhelminthes, Trematoda, Strigeidida, Schistosomatidae. The record is from Rfam.